This 484-nucleotide ribosomal RNA is filed under the name uncultured bacterium. RNAcentral's name for it is "partial 16S ribosomal RNA". It matches the Rfam family "Bacterial small subunit ribosomal RNA", at positions 30 to 507 of the family's 1533-position model. The record is from RNAcentral.
AUUGAACGCUGGCGGCAGGCCUAACACAUGCAAGUCGAGCGGAUGAAGGGAGCUUGCUCCUGGAUUCAGCGGCGGACGGGUGAGUAAUGCCUAGGAAUCUGCCUGGUAGCGGGGGAUAACGUCCGGAAACGGGCGCUAAUACCGCAUAAGUCCUGAGGGAGUAAGGGGGGGAUCUUCGGACCUUACGCUAUCAGAUGAGCCUAGGUCGGAUUAGCUAGUUGGUGGGGUAAAGGCCUACCAAGGCGACGAUCCGUAACUGGUCUGAGAGGAUGAUCAGUCACACUGGAACUGAGACACGGUCCAGACUCCUACGGGAGGCAGCAGUGGGGAAUAUUGGACAAUGGGCGAAAGCCUGAUCCAGCCAUGCCGCGUGUGUGAAGAAGGUCUUCGGGUUGUAAAGCACUUUAAGUUGGGAGGAAGGGCAGUAAGUUAAUACCUUGCUGUUUUGACGUUACCAACAGAAUAAGCACCGGCUAACUUCGUG